Molecule: ribosomal RNA, 253 nt
Filed under: uncultured bacterium
Lineage: Bacteria
Description: partial 16S ribosomal RNA
Rfam family: Bacterial small subunit ribosomal RNA
Source: RNAcentral
UACAGAGACUGCAAGCGUUGUUCGGAACCACUGGGCGUAAAGCGCGUGUAGGCGGCCCAUUAAGUCUGAUGUGAAAGCCCGGGGCUCACCCCCGGAAGUGCAUUGGAAACUGAUGGGCUGGAGUCCCGGAGAGGAGGGUGGAAUUCCUGGUGUAGCGGUGAAAUGCGUAGAUAUCAGGAGGAACACCGGUGGCGAAGGCGGCCCUCUGGACGGUGACUGACGCUGAGACGCGAAAGCGUGGGGAGCAAACAGG